CCUACGGGAGGCAGCAGUAGGGAAUAUUGCUCAAUGGGGGAAACCCUGAAGCAGCAACGCCGCGUGGAGGAUGAAGGUUUUCGGAUUGUAAACUCCUUGUGUUAGAGAAGAGAAUGACGGUAGCUAACGAAUAAGCACCGGCUAACACCGUGCCAGCAGCCGCGGUAAUACGGAGGGUGCAAGCGUUACGCGGAAUCACUGGGCGUAACGAGCGCGUAGGCGGGAUAGCAAGUCAGAUGUGAAAUCCUCUGGCUUAACCAUAGAACUGCAUUUGAAACUGUUAUUCUAGAGUAUGGGAGAGGUAGGUGCACUUCUUGGUGUAGGGGUCACAUCCGUCGAGAUC
This 343-nucleotide ribosomal RNA is filed under the name uncultured bacterium. RNAcentral's name for it is "partial 16S ribosomal RNA". It matches the Rfam family "Bacterial small subunit ribosomal RNA", at positions 338 to 698 of the family's 1533-position model. The record is from RNAcentral.